RNAcentral lists this ribosomal RNA (497 nucleotides) under uncultured bacterium. Its description in RNAcentral is "partial 16S ribosomal RNA". It matches the Rfam family "Bacterial small subunit ribosomal RNA", at positions 28 to 507 of the family's 1533-position model. The record is from RNAcentral.
GAUGAACGCUGGCGGCGUGCCUAAUACAUGCAAGUCGAGCGAACGGACGAGAAGCUUGCUUCUCUGAUGUUAGCGGCGGACGGGUGAGUAACACGUGGAUAACCUACCUAUAAGACUGGGAUAACUUCGGGAAACCGGAGCUAAUACCGGAUAAUAUUUUGAACCGCAUGGUUCAAAAGUGAAAGACGGUCUUGCUGUCACUUAUAGAUGGAUCCGCGCUGCAUUAGCUAGUUGGUAAGGUAACGGCUUACCAAGGCAACGAUGCAUAGCCGACCUGAGAGGGUGAUCGGCCACACUGGAACUGAGACACGGUCCAGACUCCUACGGGAGGCAGAAGUAGGGAAUCUUCCGCGAUGGGCGAAAGCCUGACGGAGCAACGCCGCGUGAGUGAUGAAGGUCUUCGGAUCGUAAAACUCUGUUAUUAGGGAAGAACAUAUGUGUAAGUAACUGUGCACAUCUUGACGGUACCUAAUCAGAAAGCCACGGCUAACUACGUG